This 219-nucleotide unclassified non-coding RNA is filed under the name uncultured Tomentella. RNAcentral describes it as "sequence contains ITS2". The record is from RNAcentral. Lineage: Eukaryota; Fungi; Basidiomycota; Agaricomycetes; Thelephorales; Thelephoraceae.
ACACCUCAACUCUCAUGGUUUGCCAUGUGAGCUUGGACUUUGGAGGUCUUGCUGGCCUGUGGUCGGCUCCUCUCAAAUGAAUCAGCUUGCCAGUGUUUGGUGGCAUCACAGGUGUGAUAAAUAUCUAUGCUUGUGGUUUUCUGCCAGAUAACCUUCAGCAAUGGAGGUUCAUUGGAGCUCAUAAAUGUCUCUCCUCAGCGAGGACAGCUCUUUGAAUGU